Astatotilapia calliptera (eastern happy) is the source of this 1624-nucleotide long non-coding RNA. NCBI's taxonomy places the organism in Eukaryota, Metazoa, Chordata, Actinopteri, Cichliformes, Cichlidae. The record is from Ensembl.
UGGAUCUCACACAGCUCUUUAUAUUUGUCAGAUUUAGAUUACAAUACAAAACACAGACUUAACACUUAGUAGGCCUUAAAUGAACGCCAGUGCCUUAGAGGUUUACAUUCUGUACUUUAGCCAGAACAUUACAACUUAUACCAUUAGAAAACAAAGGUUUUACUGACUGCACACAUAACUGUUACCGUAAUAAUUUGUCUUAUGAUUUCAAAAAAUAUUAGCUAUAAGCUUCAGUUUUUACAAAGCACUGGAAUAUCUGAACAGCUGGUAUACUGCGUUAUUAGUUGUGUGUGAAAAUGAUAUCAAAUGCUGCUACACGAUAUGAUAUUUCGCCCUCUCAGUGGUAUAACUCUAUGGUCCCAUCAUAUCACACAUUCAGUAAAAGAAAUACUUGGGUAAUACAUUAAAGUAACAAAGUGCUUUAUAAAUUGUAGCGUAUGUUUUCUUCAUAUUCUGGCUUAUUCUGUACAGUCCACACGCACAAUAUAAUCCCUAUUUACACUUUAAUAGAUAUAACACCAAACAGUGGACUACAGUUAAACAUUCAUUUAUUGCACAGUGCCCGCUGUAAGAUCCACAUAAUCCCACUUCGGCAAUCUGUUAUCAGUGUCUUCGAGACUGGAGCCAGUGUCACCUUUAUAUACGUACAUGUUGGUAGGAUAAGAAGUAAAGCAUUAUAUAGGAGCAAUGCAGAAACAAAAUGAACAAUCCAAAAAAUAAAUAAAUCCUACUGGUAUAUUGGCACGGUUUGAGAUGGAAAAUUCCACCAACAGUGACUUUGAGCCAAUGAUUAAUAUACACAAGUUGGUAGGGUCAGGAGUUAAGCAUUAUACAACAGCAAUACAAAAAAAAAUUCUUACCACCACAGCUGGCAUGGUAGAAAAUGGAAAAUUCCACUGAAACUAAAGGAGUGCUGCAAAGAAAGCAUCCUAAGCUGAGGACUUACUUAAGAAAACAAGCAUCACUUAGUAAAGAAUUUAGGUUACAUUCAGUGCGGUGGGCACCUUAAAAAGGUCAAACUAAUUCAAAAACUGCUUUUUGUACUUUCAUCUGAACCAACGAGUGUGAAUAUAUUUAAAUUAAAUAUCUAUUUUUGGAUCUAUGUCUUAAUCGUGGUUAUGCCACAAAGAUUUUAUUAAAUCAUUGUCGUACCGCACUAUGCAGGUGCUCAAUGACCUAAACUUAGAGGGCUUAGAGAAAUAUUACUUAAACUAUGCGAUGUUACUGAGCGACUAUCAAACAGCAGAGUUAUCCUGAAGGUUAAACAAGGUUGCAGUCUACUGACUGGUCUUCAUCAUUGAAGAUACAUAUAAUAUAGUACAACACUGGUCUAAAGCUACAUUAUCUGUCUUUGAUGCCAAUGUUUCUGCUUUUCCCUUCAUCUAACUUGUUUUUUUUGCUUGGUAUUGUGAUGUGUGGUUUAUGUGCUUGUAUGUUAGUGUAUUUAUAUACUGGUAUAUGUAUAUAGGAUGUUUGUGUACUUGGGUAUACUUUGUUCUGUAUGAACAACUGCAUGUUGUAAUCUCCACACGUGCAUGUGUGUUACCAGGCCAGCGGGGAGGCCAUUCGUGGACUCCUGGGGCUUUUUGGGAUUUCAGCAACUUGCUGAUCACUCAGAGCUCUC